CCUACGGGAGGCAGCAGUGGGGAAUAUUGCACAAUGGGGGAAACCCUGAUGCAGCGACGCCGCGUGAGCGAAGAAGUAUUUCGGUAUGUAAAGCUCUAUCAGCAGGGAAGAAAAUGACGGUACCUGAGUAAGAAGCUUCGGCUAAAUACGUGCCAGCAGCCGCGGUAAUACGUAUGGAGCAAGCGUUAUCCGGAUUUACUGGGUGUAAAGGGAGCGCAGGCGGCCUAGCAAGUCUGAUGUGAAAUGCCGGGGCUCAACCCCGGAGCUGCAUUGGAAACUGUGAGGCUGGAGUAUCGGAGAGGCAGGCGGAAUUCCUAGUGUAGCGGUGAAAUGCGUAGAUAUUAGGAGGAACACCAGUGGCGAAGGCGGCCUGCUGGACGACAACUGACGGUGAGGCGCGAAAGCGUGGGGAGCAAACAGGAUUAGAUACCCUUGUAGUC
Molecule: ribosomal RNA, 440 nt
Filed under: uncultured bacterium
Lineage: Bacteria
Description: partial 16S ribosomal RNA
Rfam family: Bacterial small subunit ribosomal RNA
Source: RNAcentral